RNAcentral lists this ribosomal RNA (377 nucleotides) under uncultured organism. RNAcentral describes it as "partial 16S ribosomal RNA". It matches the Rfam family "Bacterial small subunit ribosomal RNA", at positions 527 to 897 of the family's 1533-position model. The record is from RNAcentral.
GUAGGUGGCAAGCGUUGUCCGGGAAUUAUUGGGGCGUAAAGCGCGCGCAGGCGGUUCUUUAAGUCUGAUGUGAAAGCCCACGGGCUCAACCGUGGAGGGUCAUUGGAAACUGGAGAACUUGAGUACAGAAGAGGAAAGCGGAAUUCCACGUGUAGCGGUGAAAUGCGUAGAGAUGUGGAGGAACACCAGUGGCGAAGGCGGCUUUCUGGUCUGUAACUGACGCUGAGGCGCGAAAGCGUGGGGAGCAAACAGGAUUAGAUACCCUGGUAGUCCACGCCGUAAACGAUGAGUGCUAAGUGUUAGGGGGGUUUCCGCCCCUUAGUGCUGCAGCUAACGCAUUAAGCACUCCGCCUGGGGAGUACGGCCGCAAAGGCUGA